This 345-nucleotide unclassified non-coding RNA is filed under the name soil metagenome. Its description in RNAcentral is "partial contains 5.8S ribosomal RNA, internal transcribed spacer 2, and large subunit ribosomal RNA". The stretch from base 1 to 120 matches the Rfam family "5.8S ribosomal RNA", at positions 35 to 154 of the family's 154-position model. The record is from RNAcentral.
GAUGAAGAACGCAGCGAAAUGCGAUACGUAAUGUGAAUUGCAGAAUUCAGUGAAUCAUCGAGUCUUUGAACGCACAUUGCGCCCUCUGGUAUUCCGGAGGGCAUGCCCGUCCGAGCGUCAUUGCUGCCCUCAAGCACGGCUUGUGUGUUGGGCCCCGCCCCCCGAUCCCGGGGGGCGGGCCCGAAAGGCAGCGGCGGCACCGCGUCCGGUCCUCGAGCGUAUGGGGCUUUGUCACCCGCUCUGUAGGCCCGGCCGGCGCCUGCCGAUCAACCAAACUUUUUUCCAGGUUGACCUCGGAUCAGGUAGGGAUACCCGCUGAACUUAAGCAUAUCAAUAAGCGGAGGA